RNAcentral lists this ribosomal RNA (330 nucleotides) under uncultured bacterium. RNAcentral's name for it is "bacterial SSU rRNA". It matches the Rfam family "Bacterial small subunit ribosomal RNA", at positions 568 to 898 of the family's 1533-position model. The record is from RNAcentral.
UCCGUAGGCGGUGUGGCAAGUCGGUAGUGAAAUCUCUCGGCUUAACUGAGAGGCUGCUGCCGAAACUGCCAUGCUCGAGUGCGAGAGAGGCGAGUGGAAUUACGGGUGUAGCGGUGAAAUGCGUAGAUAUCCGUAGGGACAUCCGAGGCGAAAGCGGCUCGCUGGAUCGCAACUGACGCUGAGGGACGAAAGCUAGGGGAGCAAACAGGAUUAGAUACCCUGGUAGUCCUAGCCCUAAACCAUCAGGACUUGGGGUUUGCCCUGUACGGGGCAAGUCCCGGAGCUAACGCGUUAAGUCCUGCGCCUGGGGAGUACGGUCGCAAGGCUGAA